Long non-coding RNA from Xenopus laevis (African clawed frog), 680 nucleotides. RefSeq lists it as uncharacterized. The transcript has 2 exons. NCBI's taxonomy places the organism in Eukaryota, Metazoa, Chordata, Amphibia, Anura, Pipidae. The record is from RefSeq and is a predicted model, not a curated record.
UCUGUGAACCUAUUUCUUUCCUUCAACGCCCAACCGCGGACUUCUUUGAGGAAUUGUGUCCAGAAUUCAGCAUAUGGUAAAGCAAAGACGGUGCCUCUACAUACCAAAAGCUGGUGUUUGAUCUUAUGAAAAUGUGGAGGUAAAUAUCUUCUUCAUAAACGUGGUGCAGCUUUUGUAUAGUUGCACAUAAAUAGUCACUCUGUGUUUUGUUACUUGUCUUUGAGAUUUUGCUAAGAAAUCUGUGAACCUAUUUCUUUCCUUCAACGCCCAACCGCGGACUUCUUUGAGGAAUUGUGUCCAGAAUUCAGCAUAUGGUAAAGCAAAGACGGUGCCUCUACAUACCAAAAGGUAAUGUUUGAUUUGAGAGAACUUUUGAUCUGUCUGUUUUAGAAAAAAAGAAUUGAAAUGUACUGAUUAAUAUUCUCUGUGUUUUACUCCCGGACUGCACUGAAUCAACUCCUCGUGGAGACCUGGGUCUCAUGUUCCAGUUAGAAGAAGUAGGAAGCCAUCGAUUAAGACUAAGAAUCUGCUUGCACAGUGAAUCCAACGCAAACCUGUAGACCUGAAUCUCCUAAUACCACAGGCAGAGAUGGAAAAUGGCUUCUCUGCUCUAUUUUGCUCUUCUUUUUUUGCUGUAAAAACUUUGAAAAAUGAAUAAAAAAGGAAUAUAUGAAAAAUUA